RNAcentral lists this ribosomal RNA (229 nucleotides) under Clostridioides difficile. RNAcentral's name for it is "partial 23S ribosomal RNA". It matches the Rfam family "Bacterial large subunit ribosomal RNA", at positions 2694 to 2925 of the family's 2925-position model. Lineage: Bacteria; Bacillati; Bacillota; Clostridia; Peptostreptococcales; Peptostreptococcaceae. The record is from RNAcentral.
GGGAUGGACGUACCUCUGGUGUACCAGUUGUCCUGCCAAGGGCAUGGCUGGGUAGCUAUGUACGGAAUGGAUAAGCGCUGAAAGCAUCUAAGCGCGAAGCCAACUUCAAGAUAAGAUUUCCCACCGCAAGGGUAAGACCCCAGAAAGACUAUCUGGUUGAUAGGUCGAAGGUGUAAGUGCAGCAAUGUAUUUAGCUUAUCGAUACUAAUAGGUCGAGGACUUGACCAAU